CAGAGUAAAGAGAUACGCGUGAAGUGCCUGUUGUACGGGGAGUUGAUAACAGGACGAAAGGGCGCCUGCCCUGCGGUGUAUCUCUUGCAUCCCGCUGU
RNAcentral lists this non-coding RNA (98 nucleotides) under uncultured Ruminococcus sp. Its description in RNAcentral is "THF riboswitch". It matches the Rfam family "THF (Tetrahydrofolate) riboswitch aptamer". From Rfam's summary of the family: THF riboswitch presents a pseudoknot that joins P1-P2 and the loop of P3 and two THF binding. Lineage: Bacteria; Bacillati; Bacillota; Clostridia; Eubacteriales; Oscillospiraceae. The record is from RNAcentral.